GACGUAGGGCGCAAGCGUUGUCCGGAUUUAUUGGGCGUAAAGAGCUCGUAGGCGGCUCGUUGCGUCGGCUGUGAAAACCCGCAGCUUAACUGUGGGCCUGCAGCCGAUACGGGCGGGCUGGAGUUCGGUAGGGGAGACUGGAAUUCCUGGUGUAGCGGUGAAAUGCGCAGAUAUCAGGAAGAACACCCGUGGCGAAGGCGGCUCUCUGGAACGCAACUGACGCUGAGACGCGAAAGCGUGGGGAGCAAACAGG
RNAcentral lists this ribosomal RNA (253 nucleotides) under uncultured bacterium. RNAcentral's name for it is "partial 16S ribosomal RNA". It matches the Rfam family "Bacterial small subunit ribosomal RNA", at positions 524 to 776 of the family's 1533-position model. The record is from RNAcentral.